This 450-nucleotide ribosomal RNA is filed under the name uncultured bacterium. Its description in RNAcentral is "partial 16S ribosomal RNA". It matches the Rfam family "Bacterial small subunit ribosomal RNA", at positions 354 to 796 of the family's 1533-position model. The record is from RNAcentral.
GUGGGGAAUUUUGGACAAUGGGCGAAAGCCUGAUCCAGCCAUGCCGCGUGUGUGAAGAAGGUCUUCGGAUUGUAAAGCACUUUAAGUUGAGAGGAAGGGCAGUAAGUUAAUACCUUGCUGUUUUGACGUUACCAACAGAAUAAGCACCGGCUAACUUCGUGCCAGCAGCCGCGGUAAUACGAAGGGUGCAAGCGUUAAUCGGAAUUACUGGGCGUAAAGCGCGCGUAGGUGGUUUUGUAAGUUGGAGGUGAAAUCCCCGGGCUCAACAUGGGAACUGCCUCCAAAACUGCAUGACUAGAGUACGGUAGAGGGUAGUGGAAUUUCCUGUGUAGCGGUGAAAUGCGUAGAUAUAGGAAGGAACACCAGUGGCGAAGGCGACUACCUGGACUGAUACUGACACUGAGGUGCGAAAGCGUGGGGAGCAAACAGGAUUAGAAACCCGGGUAGUCC